ACCGGCAGCCAUAUCACCCUGUAGCCCAAGACUGGUUGCCCACUGAAGCUAAGCAGGGCUGAGCCUGGUCAGUACCUGGAUUGGAGACCUCCUGGGGAAAAACUAGGUUGCUGCUGGAA
This 119-nucleotide ribosomal RNA is filed under the name Sinocyclocheilus rhinocerous. The record is from RNAcentral. Lineage: Eukaryota; Metazoa; Chordata; Actinopteri; Cypriniformes; Cyprinidae.